CUGUGGGUUUCUUGCUGAAGGAACACUGGUGUGAGUGACAGUUUAUCCCAUGUGCCCCAUACAUUUUAUUUUUAUUUUUAUUUUUAGGGCUGUGUCUGUGGCAUAUGGAAGUUCCCAGGCUAGGGGUCUAAUCAGAGCUGAAGCCACUGGCCUACAUCACAGCCACAGCAACAGAGGGUCUGAGCCCGCGCCUGCAGCCUAUACCACAGCUCACGGCAAUGCUGGAUCGUUAACCCGCUGAGCAAGGCCAGGGAUCGAACCCACAACCCCAUGGUUCCUAGUUGGAUUCAUUAACCACUGAGCCACGACGGGAACUCCUAUACUUUUUACCUUGUAGAACUUUUCUCUUUUCCUCUUUAUUGGUUUUGGUUGAAAUGUAACUCAAACACAGUAAAAUGUGCAGAAUUUAAGCGUUCAACUCAAUGUAUUUUUGCAUUUGUGUAUACCUGUGUAGUCACCCAAAUUAGGUACCUAGUAAGUCUCCCUCAUGCCUCUUCCAGAUACACUCACCCCAAGACUACCACUAUUCUACACUUUCACCGUAGGUUGGUUUUGCUAGCUUACAUCUUUAACUUUUGUGAAAUAAUUUCAAAUUUGUAGAAGAGUUGCAAGAGUCAUAUAAAGAACCCUGUAAAUCUUUCACCCAAACACAGCGUGUUUGAACAUUUUACCAAUCGCUUCUCGGCCUUUUGGCUAAGAUCAAGUGAACAUUUUACCACAUUUGUGCGUCUCUCUCUUUUCUGAAAAUUUAACAUUGGUGGAACACUGUUAUCUAAUCUGAAGAGUAUCUUCAUAUUUCUCCAGUUGUCUCUAUGAUAUCUUUUAUGACAGUUUUUCACUUUGAUAUAGGAUUCAGUCCAGGAUCAUAUCUUGCAUUUAGUUGUCAUGUCAUUUUGCUUCCUUUAAUCUGGAAUAGCUUUUCCUUAUCUUUUAUGAUGUUGAUAUUUUUUAAGAGUACAGGACAGUUGUUUUGUACAAUGGUUCUCAAUUUGGUUCUAUCUGAUUUUUUUCCCCUCAUGAUUAGAUUUCAUUAGGCACUUUCAGCAGAAAUACUAAAUAAGUGAUGUUGUCUCUUUAAAGCAUCACAAGAUGAGGCACCUGAUGUCAGUUUGUCCCACUGUUAGUGGUGCUAACUUAGAUCACUUGGGUAAGAUGGUGUCUGGCUCCUUUGUCUACUAUAAUCUACUCUUUCUCCUUUCUUUGUAAUUGAGAAGCGACACUGUGAGGCUAUGUAAAUAUCCUUUUCCUCUUCAUACUUUUGCCCAGCAGUUUUAACAUCCAUUAAUGAUUCCUUCCUGAAUUAACUAUCACUUUUGCAAAAUUAUUUCCUUGCCCAACUAUUCCUUUCACAUUUAUUUUUUUUACAUUAUAAGAGCUUUCCCUGCUCUCCUAUUUAUUUAUUAUUCAGUAUCUACUUAUGAAUUUUUAUUUUAUUCAAUGAGUCUUAAUCCAUUGUCAUUAUUCAUUUUGAUGCUCGAAUUCUCCCUGAUUUAGCCAGUGGGAGAUCUUUCAAGCUGGCUUCUCUGUCCUUUUGACAUGUCCUUGUCAUCUUUUGAUCAUUUCUUUACUUCCUGGCACAAAUAGAUGUUCUAGGCUCAAACUGUUCUUUCCAAGUCUCAACCCUGGAAUUGGACAUUUCUUCAAGGAGCUCUGAUUCUUCUUAGUUAAAUAGUAUUUAAAAGACAAGAUCAGUGCACCAAGUGACCUCAUUGCUACUGGGGUGUUAUUGCAUCAAGGCAGUUUCAUAUUGGUUUAACUUAACGUGGGCGUGUGUAUGCAUGGAUAAAACUGUGGGUUCAUACUGAUAACUCUAACUCUAAUCCUAUGUCCACAGGGUUCCUCUUUGUCCUCCCUCAUGAUGUGUUUUCUUCAUCUACAAUGAAAACUCUAGCUCCCAAGAACAUUAAUAUAUUUCCUCAUUUGCAUAGUCCUAAAAUGUAUACAAAAUACUUGCAGAAUUGAUACAUGCAUACUGCCAUGGGGAAAAAAAAGAAUCCAUUAAGUGCCUUAAGUAGAGUGAAGGAUUUUAACAGCCCUUUUUGUUUUUAAUCAGAACCUAUUUAGUCAAAGUACUGCGUUAAAGGUUUCUAGGAUUAGUUCUCUUCUCCCUUCAGAACAGUUAUAUUAUUUAUUUGAAAUAAGUUUGCUUAUUUGGGAGCUUCAUAUAGAGAGUGUCACACAAU
This 2183-nucleotide long non-coding RNA is filed under the name Sus scrofa (pig). Its description in RNAcentral is "lncRNA (ENSSSCG00045025500.1)". The record is from RNAcentral. Lineage: Eukaryota; Metazoa; Chordata; Mammalia; Artiodactyla; Suidae.